RNAcentral lists this long non-coding RNA (245 nucleotides) under Hordeum vulgare. RNAcentral describes it as "long non-coding RNA (HVUL_LNC002245)". The record is from RNAcentral. Lineage: Eukaryota; Viridiplantae; Streptophyta; Magnoliopsida; Poales; Poaceae.
CUGGGUGGUAUGUAUUUGGCUUCGAUAUACUUUGCAUAAUCGGCAUACCACGAUGCACUAUGUGAAGUGCGGAUGACAUUUAAUUGCUCAUCAGGAAAGUUGUCAUCAAUAGGUAGUGGGUCAUCAAGGACAUUCUCUAGCCUAGACAAAUUAUCUGCUAGAAGGUUAUCAGCACCCUUUCGGUCAACGACGUGCAAAUCAAAUUUCUGUAGCAGGAGAACCCAUCUUAUUAGCCUAGGCUUAGC